This 84-nucleotide transfer RNA is filed under the name Trametes cinnabarina. Its description in RNAcentral is "Pycnoporus cinnabarinus tRNA". It matches the Rfam family "tRNA". Rfam says of the family: Transfer RNA (tRNA) molecules are approximately 80 nucleotides in length. Their secondary structure includes four short double-helical elements and three loops (D, anti-codon, and T loops). Further hydrogen bonds mediate the characteristic L-shaped molecular structure. tRNAs have two regions of fundamental functional importance: the anti-codon, which is responsible for specific mRNA codon recognition, and the 3' end, to which the tRNAs corresponding amino acid is attached (by aminoacyl-tRNA synthetases). tRNAs cope with the degeneracy of the genetic code in two manners: having more than one tRNA (with a specific anti-codon) for a particular amino acid; and 'wobble' base-pairing, i.e. permitting non-standard base-pairing at the 3rd anti-codon position. The record is from Rfam by way of RNAcentral. Lineage: Eukaryota; Fungi; Basidiomycota; Agaricomycetes; Polyporales; Polyporaceae.
GGCGCUAUAGUGUAGUGGUUAUCACUUGGGAUUCUGACUUGGUACUAAGUUCCCAAAACCCAGGUUCGAGCCCUGGUAGCGCCU